Molecule: long non-coding RNA, 1662 nt
Filed under: Homo sapiens (human)
Lineage: Eukaryota; Metazoa; Chordata; Mammalia; Primates; Hominidae
Description: HSALNT0368353
Source: RNAcentral
CGGCGGCCUCACCGCGGCAUCCUGGGAGGCGUAGUUCUCACUCCUAUGACAGAAAACGAGGGUGUGGCCAGCAAAGGACUUCAAGGCCCAUGAUCCCUUAGGAGGGGGCCGGCUGCAUUAGGGGUGGCUGCUGGUUUGUAACGUGCGUUGUUGGGGGCUGGGGAGGAUUUACGGCUCUAAAGCCUUCCAUAUAACGCUUUAACGGUGGGCAGAGCGGUUUCUGUUGCGUCCCGUCCUGUACUUUUCGCACCCACCUGUGAGAUAGGCGUUAAGCGUUAUGCACGCUUUAUAGAUGUAGAAAGUGAAGUACGGUUAAGGAGGCGGUGUGAAGUGUCAAAGCUAUGAAAUGUAGAACUGCAUUAGCCUUGGCUAAUUCCACGUCAUAUAUUCUUGCCACUACACCACAGCUACCCACCAUUUUGGGGAUGGGAAACUGAUAGCUGGGGUAUAGCAGUUUCUUCUUUACUUCAAUCUCAGGGACAGACCUUGUAAGAAUGAUGUCUUCUGCACAGCUGACCAUUUUUUUCCAACUUGAGGAUUUCAGUGCUAAGGGGCCUGACCAUAUCCACAUCUGGACUGGGCUCCCCCAGAGUGGCUUCUGGGUCUAGGAAGAGGAUACAAUUGACUGAGGUGGUGGUAGGAGCGGUGGAAUGAGAAGAAUGAAAUUGAAAAGGGAGCUUGGCAUAAUUCAGGACCUGUCACAAUUCACAAACAAGCCACUUAUGGGGCCUGUUUGCCCAAGCCUUUUAAGUGGCUUAAAUUAAUUAGGAUAACAAUACAUGUUGACGUUCCGGUUUUUAUUUAGGAGAGGUGAAAGAUUGACACGUCUCCCACACCCCAAGUCACGUUAUAGACUUGGGCAUCCUGUCCCCCCUCUCGCUAUUCUCCAUCCCUGUAGUCGGAGGCAUUCAGAAUUACCUCUUUCUCUGGCUCUGCAUUAAAGGAUUACAGUCUUAAGGAUUGAUUUCCUCUUCCUAGGUGCCUGCUUUAAUUCUCUACUGCACUAAGUUAUGGAGCUUCUGCCUUUUCCAAGUUUUUUGGUAGUGUUUUGCUUUUAUGACUGAAUGCGGUGUCUGCCCUCAGUGUCUUUCAUCUGAAGAUCUCCAGGCACUUAAAAAUUAGUUACUGGGCUGCACAAACAUUAAGGUGAUGUGUCUGUGUCAUUAGUCAGGAUUUAUGAGUUAGGGAACCAGUUUCUGGAUGAGGAGGUAGCUCAAGGUCUGGAGUGGGUUAAGAGUGAGGUCUGUUCAAGGACCCAAGUCUCAAGAGUUCUUGGCUCUUGUCUUCCGCCCAAAAUAAAGGUCUACGAGAAAACAGUCUCGGAGCUAAAAAUGAAUGGGAAUAAUCCACAUGAGAGUUGCUCCUUCUGCCUGGGCCUGGGAAUGAGAAGACCUGUGGAGCUGAGCUACUGCUUACCCACAACCUGCAUAUACAUAAAUCAGAAGCCAGCACUGGUUGUUGUGAGUCGCUUAGAUUUUGGGCUUGAUGAAGAUGACCUUAGGCACAGUGACCCUGAAGGCCACAUGUUAAAGACAGUGGAGCCACAGGAUGGAAGGAAGCUGGUUCCCUGAAUCAUCACGUGGCAGAGAGCGGACCACUAAUCAGGAUCAUGUGUUUCAGAUUUCACUUGACCAAUAAAUCAAUUUCAAUUUUGUUACACUG